Small nucleolar RNA from Panicum virgatum (switchgrass), 139 nucleotides. RefSeq annotates it as small nucleolar RNA Z247. NCBI's taxonomy places the organism in Eukaryota, Viridiplantae, Streptophyta, Magnoliopsida, Poales, Poaceae. The record is from RefSeq and is a predicted model, not a curated record. The transcript has a single exon.
ACUGUUGAUGAAGAUGAGAUGAUUGGUUUUAUCUUUAAUGGUUUAGAUUUCUAUUACAAUCCUAUCGUAUCUUCCAUUCUUGGUCGCACUGAUCCUGUUUCCAUGAGUGAUCUCUAUUCCCAACUAUUGUCCUAUGAGA